Molecule: ribosomal RNA, 253 nt
Filed under: uncultured bacterium
Lineage: Bacteria
Description: partial 16S ribosomal RNA
Rfam family: Bacterial small subunit ribosomal RNA
Source: RNAcentral
UACGAAGGGGGCUAGCGUUGUUCGGAAUUACUGGGCGUAAAGCGCGCGCAGGCGGUCUUCCAAGUCAGUGGUGAAAGCCCGGAGCUCAACUCCGGAACUGCCAUUGAAACUGUAAGACUUGAGGAUGAGAGAGGUGAGUGGAAUUCCCAGUGUAGAGGUGAAAUUCGUAGAUAUUGGGAAGAACACCGGUGGCGAAGGCGGCUAUCUGGCCCGUAAUUGACGCUGAGGCGCGAAAGCGUGGGGAGCAAACAGG